UACGGAGGGUGCAAGCGUUAUCCGGAUUCACUGGGUUUAAAGGGUGCGUAGGUGGAUCGGUAAGUCCGUGGUGAAAUCCCCGAGCUUAACUCGGGAACUGCCGUGGAUACUAUCGAUCUUGAAUACUGUGGAGGUAAGCGGAAUAUGUCAUGUAGCGGUGAAAUGCUUAAAUAUGACAUAGAACACCGAUAGCGAAGGCAGCUUGCUACACAGUUAUUGACACUGAGGCACGAAAGCGUGGGGAGCAAACAGG
This 253-nucleotide ribosomal RNA is filed under the name uncultured bacterium. Its description in RNAcentral is "partial 16S ribosomal RNA". It matches the Rfam family "Bacterial small subunit ribosomal RNA", at positions 524 to 776 of the family's 1533-position model. The record is from RNAcentral.